Molecule: long non-coding RNA, 448 nt
Filed under: Vulpes vulpes (red fox)
Lineage: Eukaryota; Metazoa; Chordata; Mammalia; Carnivora; Canidae
Description: lncRNA (ENSVVUG00000018100.1)
Source: RNAcentral
CUUCAAUGAACCCCAUUCUUCAGCUGGGCCACCCUCUGUUCUCUUAGUGAGCAUUACAAUGCUAAGGGGGUGAAACAAUUUGUGAGAAGUCUGUUUUCCUGAUUGGAGACCAAAAUGGAAAAAGAACGAUAUCCUUCUCUCAUUCUUCUACCAGCUUUUGUCCUUCACAAUAUGAGUGAUAACACUACUGGAAAGAACAUCAUCUAAUAGAUACAGGAUGCUCUCAUUACCUCUGUUAAAAGCAGAAGGAAGAGCCAACUAUUUUAGCUGAACUUGGAAAUAUGUUCUGACAUUUUCUUCUCAUCUGACUAAAAAGAAUGGAGAAAAUCUGUAAGGUGGAUAACCCAAUUGCAAUUUCUAACGGAAACGAGCUCUUAAUGAUCUUGUCUGGGAGGGUUAAGUAUUUUUCAUUAGCUUUUUCUUCUGAUGAUUUUGUUUGUUUUCUUUC